CAGGACCUGCUGAACCUGGGGCCCUAUAGGAGAGCACUGACGGCCCACCCCUGAACGUGGUCCUGGUCUUCAUGUUUGCAUCAGCCUCAGCCAUCUCAACACCACAAUGGAAACAUAGCCAAGUUAGAGAAGAGCCCUUCAUAUUAUUAAGCUGCUAAAUUAACUAAUCUUGGAAACUUUUGGACAUAACAAUUCUUGUGGUAUGAGAACUUCUAGCAACUAACCCUGGCAUGACCACCAGAAUCUGCAGGGCUGAGAGAAGGAAAGAAAGGCCAAAAGUGGACGAAUGAAGCUGAAAAUGCUAUGGAACUCCUAUCACAUUCCAAGUGCUGUGUUGAUAUCUGGAGAUACAGACAAGAUCAAAGCAGAUGCAGAGUCUUUCACAUGAAUAUUUGAAUCAGGUAAUAUGUUCCCCAAAUUAGCAAAGUAUCUCCCAGAUUCUUUCUUUGAUGAUAUAUUUGAAAUCCUAACACUGAAAGUUAAAUUAUCAGGGUUUUAAAACUAGAAGCAGUCAUUAUCAGAAUUUUAUACAUUAUUUAUUUUUAAGAACAUAAAUUGUCUAAGUCUUAUUAUAAUUUUAAGUGAAGUACUUUGGGCAGUCACAAAUAAAGUAAUGGGCAGGUAUUUAGU
Chlorocebus sabaeus (green monkey) is the source of this 630-nucleotide long non-coding RNA. RefSeq lists it as uncharacterized. NCBI's taxonomy places the organism in Eukaryota, Metazoa, Chordata, Mammalia, Primates, Cercopithecidae. The record is from RefSeq and is a predicted model, not a curated record.